Molecule: non-coding RNA, 135 nt
Filed under: Chromera velia
Lineage: Eukaryota; Chromeraceae
Source: RNAcentral
CAGAAUGAAAAAAGAGAGUUCAUGAAGCAUCAAAAAUCGAAUGAUACAGAGGAGUGAGAAAAACAAAUCACGCUUGGUAUCGUUUUGUCUUAUCCAUUCUUUUCCUGAUUCUCAAUUCUUCUCUUUUCAUUCUCU